RNAcentral lists this long non-coding RNA (2074 nucleotides) under Struthio camelus australis. RNAcentral's name for it is "lncRNA (ENSSCUG00000017381.1)". The record is from RNAcentral. Lineage: Eukaryota; Metazoa; Chordata; Aves; Struthioniformes; Struthionidae.
GGGAAGGCUCCUGUCACAGCCCAGCUUGGCCCCGCUGUUAGGGGGGAGCAUGGGAGGCUAAACCUGGGACAGGGCACGUGGGAGGGCAGGAGGCCAGCGCCUUGCCAGGCUCUACUGGAGAGGGGGAGGAAUAAGCAAUAAAAAUGGGGAAGGCAGAGGCGAAAUCUCAGCGGGACCGACCGGUCCUUGGAGGAAGCCAGCAAUCGUCAGCUUUUGGGGAGGUGUCUCAAGGCCCAAAGGGAGGAUCGCGGGAAGGGCUUUGGGCAGAUGCUGUGGCUCUCGGGGCCGCCGCAGUGUCUCUGUUCCUUGAGCUAGCAAAGACACUUACAUGAAGAACUGGGUUCCAGGAGCUGUCCUUGUAUCAACAGCAGACAGCAGCGACCCAAGCCACCUGCGGGCCCUGGACUUCACCCUGGGCAGCCCUCAGGAGAUCAGCCAAGCCUGGAUGCCCUCACUGAUGGAGCAGCUGGGACAAAUGAGCUGGGGCACCACGGCAUCCCCUUGCACCAGGAGCAUGACAGCUCUGCGUAACCACGGCCCCUUCCUGCGGCCCGAGCCCCCGUCAGCGCUCUGCUCCCAGAGGAGCAGCCUGCUCUGAGGACGUGCUGGGCUGGAGGCAGAAAAAGGCACUGGGUAAAACCCCUCUGCGACCAGUCGCUGAUGCAUUGGGAUGUGCCGAUCCCCGCGGCUGUCCCUGUUUCCCGAGCCCUGGGUGGUGGCUGCUUCCUUUACUUCCCCAAAGUAAAGGCGAGGGAGCAGUUCUCGCACAUCACCGCAGCUUUCUGGUUGCACAGAGCACGUUUCCUCCCGCUAACGGCCAAAGUCUCAGUGUGCAAUCCCCUCCCUGCCCUGUUCCUGCACCUUGAGACCCCCGGGCAUCUCCUUCCCCGGGGGCAGCUUGGCGCCCGCUGCCGUUCCUGCGCAUGCCCUGGGGCGCCGCAGCGGUGCUCCGAGCGCGGUGAUUUNNNNNNNNNNNNCGUCACCGCUGCCGCCGCCGCAGCGCUCCCCUUCUAUUUUCAUUUGCUUUGCUUGUUUGCUGCAUUGUUUCCUGUGCUCAAAGAGCUUCGGGAGGUCGCUCUGUGUCCGACCCACGGGAACAACGCCGGGCGGUCCCUCCGCUCUCCCUGGCUCCCCUGUCAUGGCUGCUGUCCUCACAGGUGGCUGCUGCUGGGGGUAUUUUGCUUGCAAGCCUGCCCUACUUUGGAUCAGCCCACAACAUCUUUUAUUUUGAGAGGAACUGAGGAUGAAUUGGUGUGGCGCACAUGGCUUCCAUGCAGCUGCAGCCGUUUGUGUCAGAUGAGGAUUUGAUCCUUCUGCUUAAUCCCAGGUUUGGUUUUAUUGAGCCCUUACUAAUAUAUGCGUUCUUCUGAGCUCAUGUAUAAUCUGCAGUAUAAUUCUUGUAUUCCUCUUCCCUAGAGGAAGGAGGCAAAGGAGAGAGCGGUUCUUUGCAGCUGUCUGGUGCCCUUUGCAUCCUCCUCCCUCCAGAACAUGCUGUGGUUUUCUGGCAAGGCAUUUUGUAGCGCAUCGCUCACGGUCCACUCCCUGCCGGACAUGCCACCAGGGCAGUUGCUCCCCGAAUACCCGCUCGAGUUGCUCUCUUUUACCUCAGCUCUUCUGCUGCCCUCCACCCCGAAGAGCCCAGCUCGGAGAAGCUCCUCGGUGCGGGGUCAUUGCUGUGCUCAGAGGAGCACAGGACGGUCCCUUUCUGCAAACAGCUCAGGGGGAGGGGGGAGAAGGAAUUUCACUAAGAAUUUCCUCGCUGAGGGCCCUGAUUCCUGGCCGAGUCUCUUGGGAGAGGAAUUUAAGCAGGCUGGGAUGUGUUUGGGGCGGCCAGCGGGUGCCGGGCCACGCAUGCUGCUAGGACGGAUGCUCUACAGCUCCCUCGGCCCCUCUCUGCCAGCCUCCCGGCAGCCCUAGCAGCCUGGGGCGUUCCCAAUUCCCGGCCAGCCAGAAACGAGUGGGGCUCCUCACUCACAAAAAUGCAAAAGGAAACUGCGUCUGGCCUCAGCGGUCGAGCGUGAAAGUGGAGGGACAUGCAGCUGUGAUUUUGCCCAGAUCAACACUGAGAAGCCCC